This 260-nucleotide ribosomal RNA is filed under the name uncultured bacterium. RNAcentral's name for it is "partial 16S ribosomal RNA". It matches the Rfam family "Bacterial small subunit ribosomal RNA", at positions 92 to 353 of the family's 1533-position model. The record is from RNAcentral.
CGAGUGGCGGACGGGUGAGUAAUGUCUGGGAAACUGCCUGAUGGAGGGGGAUAACUACUGGAAACGGUAGCUAAUACCGCAUAACGUCGAAAGACCAAAGAGGGGGACCUUCGGGCCUCUUGCCAUCGGAUGUGCCCAGAUGGGAUUAGCUUGUUGGUGGGGUAACGGCUCACCAAGGCGACGAUCCCUAGCUGGUCUGAGAGGAUGACCAGCCACACUGGAACUGAGACACGGUCCAGACUCCUACGGGAGGCAGCAUG